RNAcentral lists this long non-coding RNA (507 nucleotides) under Nicotiana benthamiana. RNAcentral's name for it is "long non-coding RNA (NBEN_LNC020670)". Lineage: Eukaryota; Viridiplantae; Streptophyta; Magnoliopsida; Solanales; Solanaceae. The record is from RNAcentral.
CACAAUCAGCCGCACAAACAAUGGGUCUGCUUAAAAAAGAAUCAGCCAUUUCCAUGGCAUCCUCUUAAAGAAGACAACCCCCAAUUCCAUUAGAAAAGGAACCAAAUUCCUAACACCUGGAAAAGCCAACGAAAUUUUCUAGAAAAUCACCCCAAAAUCAACCAUUAACCACCCCAAAAUCCUGCUGAAAAUAAGUUCCAAACUCAGCUAAAAAACUGAUGGAGAACAUGCCUAAAACCAGUCCUUCAACAGCUUCAAAACAGCCCUAAAUUAGCCCCCAAAUCAUGCCAAAAAUCAACUUAAAAUUAGCUACAAAACCAGCUGAAAAUUGUCUCAAAACCAACACAAAAUACAGCUACAACGCAGCUACAAAACAGCUCCAGAAUCCUCAAUUAAUCCCAUUGAAGUCUUGAGCUCGAGGUUGUCGCUGACGAUGUUUCCGUUCAACAGGGCAGGUUCAGUUCGCGAGAGAGCUGCAUCCAUCCGCAGGACUAAAGCAUAUUUCCU